Molecule: long non-coding RNA, 1247 nt
Organism: Passer montanus (Eurasian tree sparrow)
Lineage: Eukaryota; Metazoa; Chordata; Aves; Passeriformes; Passeridae
Exons: 4
Source: RefSeq, a predicted model, not a curated record
UACCUGCACCUCCGCCACCUGCCUGCCCCCUCCGCGCCUCGCCCCGGGCCUGGCGACGCCCGGCACCGCCAUGGAGCUGGCCUCUCCUGGCGGGUGCCAGAGCCCGGCAGGGACCUGCUUUGGCAAAGAGUGGGGAGUCCGCUGCUCCCCCUUUGAAGCGCCACAGGAGCAGUGUGAGGGAUGCAAGGGGAUGACGGAAGACGGGUGCAGUGGGCUGCAAACUGGGGGCGCGAAGAAGAGGAGUGCCAGAUCACAUCAGGCUCUAAGAUACCUGAGGACUAUUUGUUUGCAGACUGCUGGAAGACAGAGACGGAAUCACCUAUUGGAAAGGUGAAAAGCAGAAGAGGACCUGCAGUCACUUGCAUCUUGCAGGACUGGUGCAAGUCCAUUGCAUAUUUCUAGGUGCAGUAACAGAAAAAUAAAUUCAAUUUGCAGACUCCUGUCAUCCUCCGGAUCUUUGGAUCAGUCUCUCAGCCUCAUUCAUUGCUUCUGAGAAUGAACUUCUAAACACCUGCUGUGGUCGAAACUGUUCUUACAUCAUCUCCUGAACACAGUGACUUCAAUCACAUGAAAUCAUGAGGUUAAUGCCACAGUCGAGACUUCAAAGCUGUUUCUGCAGACCUGAGCUUUUUUUUUUUUUUUUGAAAAUGCUACAGUAGCUGCUAGUUCUUAACCAACAGAAGAAUUACCAAAGUUGUCAGUGUUCUGCUUAUCAUGCAAUAUAAGAAGAUGGGAACAUUUUCUAGAAGAGUUGCAGUCUGAGUGGGGGUGGCAGUACCACAGGAUGAGUUCUCCACUUAAUCUCAGAUUAGUUUUGGUUUUUGUCUUUUUGUAUAAAAUGGAGAUUAAUAUCCUACUUGAACCACAUGACCUUUAAAAAGUCCCUUCCAACUCAAACUAUUCUAUGACUCUAUGAAAUGGUUAAUUGUGCUAAAAAAGGGAUUGUCACAAGAAAAAAAGGUGAUUACAGGGCUUACUAAUGAGGGUAAGAGAUCAGGCUGCAAGGGGAACUGUCCGCAGAGAGACACUUUGAACAAUCUUUCAGAAGGGGAGAGAUACUGAUACACAUCUAAAUGAAUUGCAUGGGUUAUGUGCAGUAGGAGAAAACUUUCCUCUGACCAGAAAGUCCCCUCUGGUUCUGUGUUUCUGAGUUGUAGGACAAUGAAAUUCUUAAAUGUUAAUUAUGCAAGUAGCAACAGCAACUAUCUAUUGAUCAAUAGUAUUAAUUAUAGACUGGAUUGAUUGGA